Molecule: long non-coding RNA, 1647 nt
Filed under: Carica papaya (papaya)
Lineage: Eukaryota; Viridiplantae; Streptophyta; Magnoliopsida; Brassicales; Caricaceae
Description: long non-coding RNA (CPAP_LNC015384)
Source: RNAcentral
CUGCGAUCGGACGGCUCGGAUGUAUCCCCUCUCUAGACGCGAUUGGACGGUCAGAUUUAAACGCAAUCAACGAUUCAGAUCUAUUUCCUAUUUAAUCGCGAUUAGACAGUGCAAAUCAAACGCGAUGGACGGCCCAGAUUAAAAGGGAACGAAUAUAAAUAACCCUCUUCACACCAAAUCCUAACCCUAGUUGGCAGACACCCUCGCCGGAGAAGAAGACCCAACUGCCGGGAAGGAGAGCCGCCGCCACCCACCGCCGCGCCGGAGCCACUCCUGACUGCUAAAAGAAGUAAAAAAAAUUUCCUUUACUCGGAAUUCAAUUUUAAACACCCCCAUGGCCAAAUUGGAGCCAAAAGACCUGCGGAUUGGCAGGAAACCGCGGAUAAAGCCCAGUGCGGCCACCGCACAAAAUUGUAAAAAACGCAUCCGAUGAGACUCUUUCCGAUUCUCGUUCUGCGUAAUUUUUUCACCAUUGUAACACCGUUUCCUCCUCUACAGGUUGACCGAAGCAAAAUAUUCAACCGUAAAGGUGAGCUGGUGAAGUCACCGCACCAGAGAACCCCGCCGUUUAUGAGUUUCGGUUUUUCGUUUUUUUUUUUGCCAACCAAGACCUCUUAGCGUAUUUUCUCGCAUUGAUGCAAAACCAGCCGAAUUCGGCUGAAAACUGUCAAAAACAACUGACCCGAGGCAAACUGCCGCUGCAGGCAGCGGCGGAGCCACCGUGCCGGAAUUCUGGAAUUAGCCAAAAAGAGGUCCUGACACCAAUUUUGGGUUAUUGGGAUAUUUGUAGGUACUUAUAACGCGUUUUAAUCUCCGAAGAAAAAUUCAAGGAAUCCGGAGACCGCUAGUAGGUACAGUCAACAAGUUUAGCUUUUCGGAAAUCAAUUUGAGUAAUAAUCUCUUACCUUACUCUCUGUUAUAGAAUUGAAGUCAAAUUAACAAUAAAUACGGUGUUUUGUGCAAUUUAAAAAAUAUUCAUAAUUAAUUACGGAUUAUUAAUGAAGGCAGAACUAAAAAUUAUUUACUGUUGAUUUUGUUGAUUGAUUUUAUAGUUUAAAUGCAUGAUAGUAUCUAAUUGAUCGAUUUUAUAGAUUUGAAUGCAUGUGUUAUUUGUAUUAUGUGAUUACGGUUGAAUUGGAAGACUGAAGAUUAAAAGUAAACGGAGAACUGUGUGAUUAAGUGAAUAGAUGAAACAACAACUCUACUGGAUAUCCUGAGAGAUGGUGGACGGACUGGGUGCAUAGGGAACCCUACCGUGAACGUUGUAUCAUACCGGACGAGAUAUCGAGACUUAAUAAUUUGGUGUUCAUACCCGACGGGGUAUGAGGACGGAUCGUUUCACCUUAAUACCGGACGGAGUAUUGAGCUUUUGUAAUUUGGCGUUCAUACCAGACGAGAUAUGGGGACGGCCCGUGAAUUGGAAAUGUUGAAGGAAAUGGUUCACCGUUGUGGGCACAUCCCUAUGAACUUUCAUGGAUACCAAUAGGCUGAUAAAAAGGAAAAAUUCUUGUUCUGGUUAAUUGAAUAUGAGAUCAUGAUAUGUAUUAUGUUAUUGACUCUACAGGUUGUUUUUGCAAAUCUCGCUACGGUAAGUAAACGGUAAAUAAUUUUAUUAUGAUAAAUGAAUUUGCUUAAUUACGAGAUUCA